This 371-nucleotide transfer-messenger RNA is filed under the name Nocardioidaceae. Its description in RNAcentral is "Nocardioides sp013778305 Standard tmRNA". It matches the Rfam family "transfer-messenger RNA". Rfam says of the family: Bacterial tmRNA, also known as 10Sa RNA or SsrA, is named for its dual tRNA and mRNA-like properties. Its role is to liberate the mRNA from a stalled ribosome. To accomplish this part of the tmRNA is used as a reading frame that ends in a translation stop signal. The record is from RNAcentral. Lineage: Bacteria; Bacillati; Actinomycetota; Actinomycetes; Propionibacteriales. RNAcentral also lists the same sequence under 1 other name.
GGGGCUGAUCGGUUUCGACUUGGGACGUUAGUUCCAGGGGAAGCGGGUCGAGGAGCCAGCGACAUCUCGUAAACGACCGCUGGAAUCUAUAACUGCCAACAACCAGCGCAGUUCCUUCGCUCUCGCCGCCUGACGCGGUGAUCGAAGCGUCCAACCGAGUAUCUGUCUCCGGCUCGGACCUGGGCGUCAUCUAGGAGACUUGCUGCUCAACUCCUGCCAGGAGGGUUGAGCGGGACUCUUUCCUGACUGAGCCUGUCGUGGACGUGUCAGUGCGAGCCACGGGGCCGAGAAAAGCGAUAGCGCUGACUGCACCCGGAGAAGACCUGGAUCGACGCUCGAGGACCGGGGUUCGAUUCCCCGCAGCUCCACCA